Molecule: long non-coding RNA, 2231 nt
Organism: Xiphophorus maculatus (southern platyfish)
Lineage: Eukaryota; Metazoa; Chordata; Actinopteri; Cyprinodontiformes; Poeciliidae
Exons: 2
Source: RefSeq, a predicted model, not a curated record
CUAUUGUUUUGGUGGAAGCUGUGAAUGUGUGUGUGCAUGUACCAUGUAUUUCAUGCCUCGUGGGAACACGUUUCCUGACACAUAUUACGAUGUUGGGACUGAAGCCUGGUCCCCACAAAGGGAAAUGCUGUUAGGUUUAGGUUUAGGACUAAGAUGCGAAUUGAAUUUUGGUUAGGAUUAGGUAUAUAAUUGUAAGGGUUAAGAUGUAGAAAUGAAUGGAAGUCAAUGGAAAGUCCCCACAAAUAUAGAGUGAUAAGCAUGUGUGUAUGUGUGUGUGCGUGUCAUCCCCCUAGCAAUGGGAGAGGAGGAGACAACUGUAAGCUUGAGCCCAUCUUUUCUCGCCCCCUCCCUCCUUCCUUCUCGUCCUCAUGCUCCUUUCCAUUCCUCUCCACAGCCAUCAGGACCGUCCUCCUUCUCUUCCCGCCUCUCUGCUUGGUUAUCCAAUGCACCGUCGUCCCCGGUGCCUAACUGCUGGAGACCUAGAGGAAGGCUGCAGUCUCUGGUGAUUCUUUCCUGCACAUCUACUGAGACAAGAGACUCAGGCUGCGCUCGCUUCUCUGCAGACGGCUGGAUCUUGGAUUUUCCGCUCUCCUCUGGAAUAUUCCUCAGCAGACUCAAUCCGUGAACCUGCCUGUCCUCCCCUGUGCUGGCUGCCAGCGACACGCCACCAGCUCACCCGACAGACAUGAUGCAAAGCUCUGGCACGGGGGCUUCACAUUCCAAUGACACCCCCAGAAAUGAAGGCAGCAGCAGCAUCAAGCUGAGUAUGUGCAGGUUUAUGGAGACCCUGUGGAAGAAGGCAGCAGGUUUCUGUAGCAGAGUUUAGGCAGAGCGAGGUAGCCGAACUCAGAAGACUGAGCAGACAAAGAAAGAUGAGCAGAGUGUGUGAGGGGCUGAGAUGGAGUAGGUGAGACCCCUGCUGCCAGAGUCUCUGGAACUCCACAGAGACUAGUGAGGGUGAAGGAGCAGAGAGGAAGGUGGGGAGUGAAGGGGUUUUGCAGCUGGUGCUGAGGAACAUGGGAAUUUGUCGUGGAUCUGUUUCUGCCUCCUCUCCCCCGUCACGGAGGCGGUGACAACACACACCCAGUCUCUCCACGUUUACCCCUCUGUCGCUGCCUGGAGCAGCUUCACACUCUCAUUUCUUCUCUGAGGUCCCAAACAGCAUGCCGGAUGAUGCUUUGUACAUGAAACGUCUUAAGGUCAGGUGAGCUACAGGACCAUGGGCACCACCGUCAUCACGCUGGAUGAUGUGCAGGCGCUGGAGGCCAAGGAGGAGCAGGAGGAGUCCAUCUUGGCCAUGCUGGGCAUCGUUGGCACUUUCCUCAACCUCUUUGUAAUAGUUUUUGUUUACAUUUAUACCACGGUGUGAGGAGGGAAUCCCUGACUGGAUAACAGUGAUCAAUGGUAAGACCUUAGGAAAAACUGCGGCCUGACAUGAACACCUAUCCGAGAUCAAGAUGGAGGAAACGACAGGAAGUGGCUGAAGAUUACAAAGGGGAAGCCAUAUUGCCACACCACAGGUUUAAUCUGGAGAGAUAACGAAGGGCUUGAAGCGAAUGCGAGACGAGUCACGUGAAGAAAGGGAGUCCCCCGAAACAAACGCCUUCUGGCUCCCGGCAUUUGGGACUGUUGGACCAAUGAGGAUGACUCUGGUGCCAUUAUUCCACUGAACUCAAUUUAAUUAUACAGUUGUCCUCCUCUACAUCGCAGAGUGAAACCUGGAGGAGUGAUUGGUCAGGCCCACUCUACCAGCACCGCUCCUCACUUCCUGAACCCCCUGCACGCACACACACACACGAACCCCCCCACACAUACACAACACAUAUGGCAUUCAAGAAAAGUCCUGCUACAGCUCUACAUCCUGAAGAUGAAUUUCUACAAUAUAAUAAAAUAACCUACUGUUCGUGGGUUAAAAAAACAUUUCCAAGAUUUAAAAGUUCACAUAUGGCGCUAUUUUUGUAAAAGGACAUCUUUACAGAGGGUAAGAAUUUAGGAGAAAGACAAGAUUGUGAUUAAAAAAAAAGUAACUUAUGUAUUAAAAUACAAGCAAAAGCAAACUUAUGCUGUAUUUUUGUUCAUAUUCAGAAAAGAUGAAGGAUGUGUCCAGAAACUCUUACAGAAAAGAGGGUUUUUUCUUCCUUCUACUUUUUAAGAGUCAGUUUCUGUAACUUUUUCUCCAUUUUACCAAUGCUGUUUUUAUGACUACCUGAAUAAAGUCUACAUGUACAGAU